AAAAAAAAAAAAACUCAUAAUUACCUUAACAUUAUAUAUAUAUAUAUUUAUAUAUAUAUAUUCAAGAAACAAACUUCUUCCACUGGGAAACAAAAGAUUAUUUUCUAAUGAAUUCUCUUUUUUCUAUCAGCAAUAAUAAUCUAAAACUUGCUAGCAUUGAAGAAAGAUAUGGAGUGUCGGUACCCAAAUCAUGGAAAAUGCAAAUCAGAUACCCUAAAACGCCAUCUUCCGUGUUGUGAUCAGGUUUAGGGUUUAGGGUACAUGCACUCCACAAGCAGCUCCGCGAUCUUGAAGGCUUUCCACGCAGAGCUGGAUUCUGAUGUUUGUGAUUUGCUGAGUUGGGUGCCAGGAUCGUGCAUUCGUUAGUUGCAUCGCAUCAAUGGUGCAAAGCGUAAGUGCACAAGAAGCUGAGCUCUUGGACUUGGAGUGUAUAAUUGUGGACAUUCCAAUUUCUGAGUUUAAUAGAGUGUUGUGUAGUAUGCUUAGAUAGCACGCAAGUUGCUUUGGUUACCACUUCAAUGAUCGGGAAGACGUCGUCAGAAUUCGCGUCUUCAUGGUGCGGAAGCUUGUGUCUGUCUCACGUGGGUUAUGGAAAAGAAUUGAACCCGUCACAUGAAAAUCGUACCGCAGGUGCAUGUGAGCAAUGGCUGGUGAUAGUGUUUCCAUCCUUUGCUGGGAUUGCAUUCCACUCCAUUUGCAUCACCAAUUGCAGCAUUAACGACGCCUCACGUCCCAAGCUCAUCAUCCAAACCCCUAACACUAAAUUCUUUUGGCUUCGGUAGGCAGAGUUUCCCGGAUUCUUUUGCAACAAUGCAAAUGGCAUGAGCAAUAGCUCUUCUACGAGAACCUGAGCAUGAGCAUUACUGCUGUUAAGGGCACCGUUUUCUCCAUCGGAUUAGGUCUCAUACCUCAGGCGCAGACCCGAAUCUUCCUCCGGAGGAUGAUGCAGCGGCCUUAUUUGCUGCACUCAACAAAUCUCAGAAAAAGUGUCGCUGCGACAAAUCGGAGAACCCAAUCGCAUAGUCUCUGAUACGCUGAACAAUCUCAUUGGCGAGCAGAAUCUAACGAUCCGUGGCUAUAAAGCCGUUCUAAGAUAAUGGGGGAUUUGUCACAAAACCCCAAUGCAAUCCAAGCAUCUGGAGAAUCAUGGAGAUUUCGGACAACUCUCCCAUUUGCCGGCACGAAUUCGAUGGUCGGAAGAGGGCGAACACUUCACGCAUUCAAUCUCACGCACAAGAAUCCUGCUCCAUCAACUAACCCACCAGACCAAAAUUUUCAAAACAGAAAAAACAAUCUCACAAAUUCACUCGACAUUCGAUACCUCCCACCCCGCGUAGGACCCAGUCCAAUCGGAGUGGCAGGAACCGAUCCCGCAAUAACACGUGUAC
This 1388-nucleotide long non-coding RNA is filed under the name Physcomitrium patens. RNAcentral's name for it is "long non-coding RNA (PPAT_LNC009863)". The record is from RNAcentral. Lineage: Eukaryota; Viridiplantae; Streptophyta; Bryopsida; Funariales; Funariaceae.